Sphingomonas sp. Leaf343 is the source of this 392-nucleotide non-coding RNA. It matches the Rfam family "Bacterial RNase P class A". From Rfam's summary of the family: Ribonuclease P (RNase P) is a ubiquitous endoribonuclease, found in archaea, bacteria and eukarya as well as chloroplasts and mitochondria. Its best characterised activity is the generation of mature 5'-ends of tRNAs by cleaving the 5'-leader elements of precursor-tRNAs. Cellular RNase Ps are ribonucleoproteins. The record is from Rfam. Lineage: Bacteria; Pseudomonadati; Pseudomonadota; Alphaproteobacteria; Sphingomonadales; Sphingomonadaceae.
CCAGAGGGUCGGGCGGCCGCGGCUUCUCCUUUAUGGGGGAAGGCGAGGAAAGUCCGGGCUCCAUGGAACGACGGUGCCGGGUAACGCCCGGCGGGGGCGACCCCAGGGACAGUGCCACAGAGAGCAGACCGCCUAAUCCUUUCGGGGACGAAGCCUUCGGGCGGGCAAGGGUGAAAGGGUGCGGCAAGAGCGCACCGCGCGUCCGGUAACGGAGGCGGCAUGGUAAACCCCACCGGGAGCAAGAUCGAAUAGGGACGGCAUAUGGGCCUCGUUCCGGCUCGUCGUCCGGGUUGAUUGCUGGAGGCGGCGCGCAAGCGUCGUCGUAGAGGAAUGGUCGCCUAUCCCGCGUUCGCGCGGGUGGACAGAACCCGGCUUACAGACCCUCUGGCGCG